RNAcentral lists this ribosomal RNA (446 nucleotides) under uncultured Thiobacillus sp. RNAcentral's name for it is "bacterial SSU rRNA". It matches the Rfam family "Bacterial small subunit ribosomal RNA", at positions 929 to 1382 of the family's 1533-position model. Lineage: Bacteria; Pseudomonadati; Pseudomonadota; Betaproteobacteria; Nitrosomonadales; Thiobacillaceae. The record is from RNAcentral.
GCGGUGGAUGAUGUGGAUUAAUCGAUGCAACGCGAAAACCUUACCUACCCUUGACAUGUCCGGAAUCCUGCAGAGAUGCGGGAGUGCCCGAAAGGGAAUCGGAACACAGGCGCUGCAUGGCUGUCGUCAGCUCGUGUCGUGAGAUGUUGGGUUAAGUCCCGCAACGAGCGCAACCCUUAUCAUUAGUUGCUACGCAAGGGCACUCUAAUGAGACUGCCGGUGACAAACCGAAGGAAGUGGGGAUGACGUCAAGUCCUCAUGGCCCUUAUGGGUAGGGCUUCACACGUCAUACAAUGGUCGGUACAGAGGGUUGCCAAGCCGCGAGGUGGAGCCAAUCCCAGAAAGCCGAUCGUAGUCCGGAUUGUUCUCUGCAACUCGAGAGCAUGAAGUCGGAAUCGCUAGUAAUCGCGGAUCAGCAUGUCGCGGUGAAUACGUUCCCGGGCCUU